AGUGAACGCUGACGGUAGGCCUAACACAUGCAAGUCGAACGGCAGCACAGUAAGAGCUUGCUCUUACGGGUGGCGAGUGGCGGACGGGUGAGGAAUACAUCGGAAUCUACUUUUUCGUGGGGGAUAACGUAGGGAAACUUACGCUAAUACCGCAUACGACCUACGGGUGAAAGCAUGGGAUCUUCGGACCUUGCGCGAUUGAAUGAGCCGAUGUCGGAGUAGCUAGUUGGCGGGGUAAAGGCCCACCAAGGCGACGAUCCGUAGCCGGUCUGAGAGGAUGAUCAGCCACACUGGAACUGCAACACAGUCCAGACUCCUACAGUAGGCAGCAGUGGGGAAUAUUGGAGCAUGAGCGCAAGCCUGAUCCAGCCAUACCGCGUGGGUGAAGAAGGCCUUCGGAUUGUAGAGCCCUUUUAUUGGAAAAGAAAAGCAGCAGGUUAAUACCCCGCUGUUCUGACGGUACCCAAAGAAUAAGCACCGGCUAACUUCGUG
Molecule: ribosomal RNA, 492 nt
Filed under: uncultured bacterium
Lineage: Bacteria
Description: partial 16S ribosomal RNA
Rfam family: Bacterial small subunit ribosomal RNA
Source: RNAcentral